Molecule: non-coding RNA, 74 nt
Organism: Lamprotornis superbus
Lineage: Eukaryota; Metazoa; Chordata; Aves; Passeriformes; Sturnidae
Source: the annotation of a GenBank genome assembly
AGAUGAUUAGCUUAGUUGGUUAGAGCACGAUGCUAGUAACGCCAAGGUUGUGGGUUCAAUCCCCUUAUGGGCUG